GAUGAACGCUGGCGGCGUGCCUAAUACAUGCAAGUCGAGCGAACAGACGAGGAGCUUGCUCCUCUGACGUUAGCGGCGGACGGGUGAGUAACACGUGGAUAACCUACCUAUAAGACUGGGAUAACUUCGGGAAACCGGAUCUAAUACCGGAUAAUAUAUUGAACCGCAUGGUUCUAUAGUGAAAGACGGUUUUGCUGUCACUUAUUGAUGGAUCCGCGCCGCAUUAGCUAGUUGGUAAGGUAACGGCUUACCAAGGCAACGAUGCGUGGCCGACCUGAGAGGGUGAUCAGCCACACUGGAACUGAGACACGGUCCAGACUCCUACGGGAGGCAGCAGUAGGGAAUCUUCCGCAAUGGGCGAAAGCCUGACGGAGCAACGCCGCGUGAGUGAUGAAGGUCUUCGGAUCGUAAAACUCUGUUAUUAGGGAAGAACAAAUGUGUAAGUAACUAUGCACGUCUUGACGGUACCUAAUCAGAAAGCCACGGCUAACUACGUG
This 497-nucleotide ribosomal RNA is filed under the name uncultured bacterium. RNAcentral's name for it is "partial 16S ribosomal RNA". It matches the Rfam family "Bacterial small subunit ribosomal RNA", at positions 28 to 507 of the family's 1533-position model. The record is from RNAcentral.